AACCCGUGAGCGACUUUGAGAGAGUUUCUGUUAGACUGCUCCAGCCCGUAGUUUGCGUGCGGGUGCUGGUGGGUCUGCCCUGCAGAGAGUUGCGUUAGCAACCAUCCCUCCCUCCAGCGCUCGCCUCCGGGUCCCUAAGGAAAACGUUCCCCUGGUCAGGACGCUGGAGCGCGCAUGGGCCUCGCAGCCAUUGACGACUGGACGCGAGCUGCGGUACAAACCCCGACGCGGAGACGUUGGCGACAGUGGCCGCUGGGGGAGCUGCUGAGUGCCGCCCAGCACUGGGCUCCCUUUCCCUUCACUCUCGGCAGUUUCUUGCCUCCGUGGGUGGUUGGCGCGUCUGCGGAGCCAGAGUCGUUGUGUGGAUCGUGGGACUGCAGCCCCAGCCAAAGGGCUGUCACGUCUGGUCGGUUCCGUCACCCACGGUUCCGGUUUCCAGUCGUUAAGGGUCCAGCAGUCUGUUAAGUAGCUCCCUGUCCCUUCUGGAAGCUUGGCCAGGGAAGGUCAUUCCACCUUUGAGUUCCAGGAGACAAGGUCUCACUGUGUCACCCAGGUCGGAGUGCACUGGUACAAUCAUAGCUCAUGGCAACCUCAAACUCCAAGGUUCAAGUGAUCCUCCUGCCUUGGCCUCUGGAAGUGUUGGAAUUACAGCUGUGAGCCAUGGUGUUGGGUAUCAGAAGAACCAGCCCCCAAUAUUUCAGCAUGAAAUCUCGCUCUGUCAUCCAGGCUGGAGUGCAGUCGCACUAUCUCAACUCAUUGUAACCUCUGCACUUGUUCCCUAAAAUCACUGUUAUUCUGUUCUUUUUUAAGGUGCACUGAUUUCAUAUUGUUCAAAUGCACAUUUACAAUCAGAUUUCAUAUUGUUCAAACACACAUGUUUUACAAUCAAUUUGUUAGUUAAUGCAAUCAUCACAGGGUCCUGAGGUGACGUACAUUCUCAGCUUAUGAAGAUAACAGGAUUGAGAUUAAAAUAAAGACAGGCAUAAGAAAUUAUAAGAGUAUUAUUUGGGAACUGAUAAAUGUUCA
This 1026-nucleotide long non-coding RNA is filed under the name Homo sapiens (human). RNAcentral describes it as "HSALNT0229552". Lineage: Eukaryota; Metazoa; Chordata; Mammalia; Primates; Hominidae. The record is from RNAcentral.